This 391-nucleotide ribosomal RNA is filed under the name uncultured bacterium. Its description in RNAcentral is "bacterial SSU rRNA". It matches the Rfam family "Bacterial small subunit ribosomal RNA", at positions 132 to 522 of the family's 1533-position model. The record is from RNAcentral.
CAGAGCGGGGGAUAGCAUUGGGAAACUGGUGGUAAAACCCCAUGGUGUUGCUGAAUGGCAUCAUUUAGCAACUAAAGUUUACACUUUGAGAUCGGUGUGCGUCUGAUUAGCUAGUUGGCGGGGUAACGGCCCACCAAGGCGACGAUCAGUAGGGGGUGUGAGAGCAUGACCCCCCACAUGGGUACUGAGACACGGACCCAACUCCUACGGGAGGCAGCAGUAAGGAAUAUUGGACAAUGGGCGCAAGCCUGAUCCAGCCAUGCCGCGUGAAGGAUGAAGGCGCUCAGCGUUGUAAACUUCUUUUGGACGGGAACAAUAGCUUCGACUUGUCGAGGCUUGAGGGUACCGUCAGAAUCUUCUAAGGGCUAACUCCGUGCCAGCAGCCGCGUUA